Long non-coding RNA from Dreissena polymorpha, 1273 nucleotides. RefSeq lists it as uncharacterized. Lineage: Eukaryota; Metazoa; Mollusca; Bivalvia; Myida; Dreissenidae. The transcript is spliced from 3 exons. The record is from RefSeq and is a predicted model, not a curated record.
GAUGUCAGAGACCUUCACAGCGUCUGGAAAAAUAACACACGUAAUCUAUUGUCAUUGGACAUCUCAAUUGAGUCUGAUGAUGAUAUUACAAGUGACUCUGAUGAUGAUAUUGCGGUCAGAGGUGGUUCACCUGCAACAGCUGAGCCUACAUCCCAUAUUGAGUUUGACAUGUCAUCCUGCCACAGGCUGGAAUAUUUAGAUCUACGCGGCAACGACAUUUGGCUUAAAGGUCCGGCUGUGUCCAAUGUUGCUUGCCAAUUUUAAAACAUGCGUUCAAUGCGAUGCUGAUCUUCUAAAAUGUUAAACCAAGGCCCUGGUGUCGUCAAUCCAGCAAUCAUUCUAAUGGUAGAUUCAGGACACCCUUUUUGACCAAGGACCUUGGUCUUGCUCAAAACGCAGUGAUGGCAGUGAAGUGACCGACACCAUAUGGGUCUCUUUCUCGUCAGAUUUACCGCAUCAUGACUAAUCACGGGUUUUGGUUUGAAAGAGUUCUCGGUUGCUUUUUAAUUAUUGCUCAAUUAGAACAAGCAAAAGACAUGAUAAAUAACACCAUUAUGUACUAUUAUUAUUACCUAAAUGUAUAUACUAAAAAUCAUGUAAAUACAUGAAUUAAAGUUUUUUAGGAAAACACUGUUAAUGAUUCAAGAAAUUUGAAAAAUGAGUUUAAAAUGAAUUUGUUUUAUAGAUAUAUACAAGAAUUUGUACAUCUGAGGUAAUGAUUUAAAAAAAAACAUCAACGUUUUCUUAGAUAUAACUUAAAAUAUAAUUGUUGAUAUGUACCUGGUGGAAUAUGUGUAUUGUUAUAAAAAGCUUUUGUUCAGCCAGAAAUGUCUUAGAUGAAAUAAUAUUUUUAUGUAAUUUUCACACUGUAUAAAGGGCGUUUCAGCAGAUAACCAGUAAUAAGACUGCAUAUCACCGGAUGUUACAUCAGCAUGAGUUUGUGUUUAUUUUGUAUGUACCAAUAUAUGUUGAAGGAUUCGGAGAGGUACUGUACUUUUCUAUCUUGAUGACUAAAAAAUGUGCAUUUUAAGAAAGAGGUUUACAUGACAGUGCCUCGUCAACAGUCAACAUUUUGAUUUCAUGAUAGGUUGUGUUUUGAAAUAGCAUUUAAAAUACUUAUACUUUUUAAAAGAUGCAAAUGGGAAUGUUGAUUUUGGUAGUUGGUGUUGAAAUCAAUAUGAUUUGGUAUGAAUAGAAUAGUGAGAACUGUAUGUGCUUCUUUAGUAUGGUAUUGUUUAUAAUAAAUACCAGUUUAAUGUAUCAUAUAGUGUGA